This is a long non-coding RNA of Scophthalmus maximus (turbot), 2585 nucleotides long. The record is from Ensembl. NCBI's taxonomy places the organism in Eukaryota, Metazoa, Chordata, Actinopteri, Pleuronectiformes, Scophthalmidae.
CAGAGACACACACAUACUCAGGGCCUCAGCCAAUGUGAUGUUCUACCUAAAAGUGAGACCUACUAAGGCCUUUGUUUAUCUCUGUUCCAGGGGGAUGUUGAGUGGCCCUGCCAAGGUAGAGACUGCUCUGUAUGUCAGUGUCUUCCCGCCAAAGGUUCACGGGGGGCUCCAGGGAAGCCAGGGGUGCAAGGCCCCAGGGGACAAAUGGGACCAUGGGGACGUGAAGGGCUACUCGGUGACAAAGGCAGGAGGGGAGCAGAGGGAUCACAUGGCCCAGAGGGGCCCAAAGGAGACCGUGGCAAGAUUGGUGCACCUGGUUUUCCCGGAAAUGAUGGCUCAUUAGGUCACCCAGGGGCAGGCGGUGAGCCUGGUUUGCCAGGAGUAGAUGGCUGUAAUGGGACAAGGGGUCGACCAGGUGUCCCUGGUGUUCCUGGUUUGGAUGGUUUCCAUGGGCCUACAGUGAGAUGUUUACAAAAAUUCACAUUCACCCAAAUUCAAGUUUUUGCCUUGACUUUACUUAGACUGUGAUUGUUUUCAUAGUAACAGUCUAAGUAAAGCCACAAAUUCCACAAAAAAAAGUUUUUGAAAAUAUUAGAUCUAUUUAUAAUUUGUCAAAUGACAGAAUUGACUCUUUUGUUGUCAGGGAUUAACUGGACCUAAAGGAAGUAAAGGAGAACCUUUAUAUGGCACUACCCUCCCUGGACUUCCUGUAAGUUCUCCUACACUGGACAAGUGAUUAUUAUCUGAUUAUAUUGGGUUGGCCUUUACCAAGUUCGAAGUCCCUUUCUGUUUGUGCAAAUCCAUGAUUGUUCAAAAUUUACCAUGAUUUAUUAUCAUGUCAUCUUCACGAUCAAUCUUCUGAUUGUUUUAUUUUGCAGGGGGAGCAUGGGAGAACUGGAGAUCUUGGUUUACCUGUAUGUUCUUUAGAGCAGUCGUUCUCAGUAUUAUUGAAAUAUUCUAAUAAAUAAAGCAUAAAUUAAAUGUUGUUGUUUUUUCAGGGAAGACAAGGAGUCCCUGGGCUUAAAGGCCACAUUGGCCCAUCUGGUCAUCCUGGACCUGGGGUAGAACAAAAGUAUUUUAUUUGUAUUUUUAAUAUGUAUGUUAUGACUUAACUAGACAAUUUGAUGUGCGUGUGCGUGUGUGUGUGUGUGUGUGUGUGUGUGUGUGUGUGUGUCUGUGUGUGUUUGAUUCCAUUUAGGGUUUGGAGGGAUCUAAAGGUGUUAGAGGACUACCAGUGAGUUACCUGCCUUACAAUAUUAGGCAGCACAUACUGUAAUAAAAAAAACUGACCUGCACAUGACGCAUGUUUGUCUACACAAACACAAAACCUUACUAAGCUUUUGGUUGUUGUGUAGGGAAACCCUGGAGGAUCGCUGGCAGGUGAUGAAGGUGACGAUGUAAGAAACCAUUUUGGCCUUUCAAAACUACGGACUGAGGUUUUGUUUAGCGCCCCCCCCCUUUUCUCUCUCCCUCUUUAUAUGUUGAAUUAAACUUACAACUCCAGUCGACAUUUUAUUUCUAUAUUUCAGGGUGAACAAGGUCCACCUGGCCCCCCUGGACCAGAAGAAAUUAUAGAAUUUCCUCCAGACUUUCUUCCACUCAAAGGCUACAAGGUGAAGGAAAAAAUCCUCUGUUUUAGAACAAUGCUCAAUUUUUGCUCCUACAUAUCCUGUAUUUAGAUGAAUCCAACAUUCUCUACGGGUUUUAAAGAGGCAACAGACAACUGUGCCCCUAGUGGUUUCAGGUGGUAUUACUGCUUGUAUGAUGACGCUAAGGAUGCAGGUGCUUUUCCUCAGAGCUGUAAGAGAAGAAAGAAGUAUGUACAUUGAAGCUCCUCUUUUAACAGUUUAUUUUGAGACAUUCUGAGUUUUAUAUUUUAGAAAAAAGAAUAGGGACAAUAGUCUGGAAAAACAAACAUGUUUCCAUACUUAUAAAUAACCCAGAUCAAAUUCCAUACUUUCCCAUUUCCCCCACUGUGAUGAUGUAUAUUGUCUUGUGCUUCUCAGGGAGACAUAGGUCUUCCUGGACCAUGUGGACCAAAGGGCAAAAGGGUCAGUUUUAUCCAAUACGAAUAUACAGGCAUGUGUAAAAGAGAGAAAGAGGUAUUUGAGAUAAUUUUUUUCUUAUCAGGGGGAUAAAGAAGAUUAUAACAGACAAGGAAUUAAGGGAGAGCAAGGAAUCCUUGGAUUUCCUGGACUUCGGGUAAAGUGACUUAAAACACACUUCCGCAUGAUUUCAGAUAUACACGUCCAUACAAAUGCAAUGUUUUCAUCCGCACUAUUUCUUCUCUAGGGUUUUCCAGGAAUUCCUGGCAGAGACGGAACAUCACCUGAGGUACACCUGUCAUAUGAUUAAGACAUGUCAUAUGAUUAGGCCUUUGUAUGUGUCAUAAAGUUAUUCAGGCUAAAUACAAUGGUACAUUUUCAGGGUAUCCGUGGAGAGAAAGGACUUCCAGGUCUCAUAGGAAGAAUUGGACCAAAGGUGAGCUGUGCGUAAACAUCUUAUCAAUCUUCAUGACAAUUUGAACAAGAGCACUCAAGAGCGCAGACCUCCGCCAAGGCUGAUCGACGCAACCAAAAUUUGGA